Molecule: long non-coding RNA, 8997 nt
Organism: Aquila chrysaetos chrysaetos
Lineage: Eukaryota; Metazoa; Chordata; Aves; Accipitriformes; Accipitridae
Exons: 5
Source: RefSeq, a predicted model, not a curated record
GUGUAUAGAAUAGAUAAGACAAGGUAGGAGGAGUUUGAAAGAUGAGGAGUAUUACUUCCACUAAAACAACGCAACCCUGGAAGAUUACAGCCCCCUCCCAUGACGGAGCAGAGAAGGGAAGCAAACUCACAUCCAAGAUGGUGAGGGAGACACCGUCCACCAGCAGCUGAAUGCUUCCACUAAAACCUCCCUAUCAAUAUUCAGGGAUGAUUUCUGAAGUUUGGAUAAAGUCUAUCAAAUCCAACAGAGACCAAAGUGCCAGGCAUAUUUGUAGAGUCUAAACAGCUAUCACAGUCUACGGGAUCAAAGACUUCAGGUUGCUUCUGCUUAUUCUUCGGUGGGAAAGGUUUCCUUAUGAGUCUCUUCCCCAUGUGAAAGGCAGAGCUAAAGCUUUUAAAUGUAUUUAUACAUAUAUGGACAUGGAAUCUGUGUAUGCAGACAUUGCAAAAUUGUUGGAAGUUUGGAGAGGGAAGACUUUAAAUUCACAGGGAUUGUGCCAAAUAAGUACCAUGUAGCUUUCCGUGAAAACAGUAUCAGGCCACUCUGAGAUCUAUCAAGAUGCCCAUGUGCAUGACAAAUGGGGAGCAAAGGCUGCUUCAGGAGUUUUCCCCCUUCCAGGCUGGGAGGAGCAGAGCUCCGGGGACCCGCCAGUGCCUGAGCCGUAGCAAAUCUCCCUCCUGCCCAUGGCACCAGGCACAGGAGGGGAAGCCUGGGCUGGCACGGGAGCAUUUAAGGGAAGGCAAAUGAAAUUUUUCCAUUCCUGGAGGUCACCCACACUCAUUCCCCAGUGUGCACUUGCCUAUAAAGGACAUGGAGCGUGGGCAUAGACAGCCAAAAUAAACAGUGCUGCACUAAGGGGGAUUCUGAAGCUGUUAUUACCAGGCCAGGUUAUAUGCAGUGGGUCUAACUAUCUAAAUAUAUUUACUGGAGGUGAGGGGAAUGAUGGUGCCAGGAAGGGGGGGAUGGGUGGGAAAAAUUGUUUCAGUAAUUACAAUGAAGUGAUCGAAAAAGUCCUGGAAACGUGAACCCUGCUUUACACUGCCUCCCUCCCUCUCCCCCCCCAAGUUUCAUUAGCUUUUACAAAGGAGCGCUGGGGAGAUUAUUUAUCUUUGAUCAUUCCGGGAUCAAUCUGCAAAUGUACAAACGCACUUAAAAUCAGCAUUUGCCAACUGUAAAGCUCCACGUUACACCCUGUUUUUUAAAGGCCUCAGGAAGAUGCAAAAGGGAGACAAAGAGGAGAUGGAUGACUUCUGCAAGGCAUUUAAGAAAUUGUUUGAAGAGAGCAGCUGCCCCCCAUCCUGAUUAGCUGUGUAGCUCUCUGUCAGCUUGAUUUCAAAAGCAGAAUCACUCUAACUGCCUCCAAAGAAGAGGGCGAAGACAUUUGAGAAAGUAAUUUGUAAACAUUUAUCAUGGCUCUGCCCAGGCGGGCAGGCACAGUCUUUACUCGGGAGCUGCCGUGUGCUGCAUGGGUGAUGAACAGCCACGUCCCACCCCAGAGCUGGCCGCACUCUGGCGAUCCAGCUAAUACCUGCAUUUUACUUGCCCGGGGCUGCUCCUGUUUUUGCAGAGGACAGGGCAAAGAUCCACCUUCAACAAAGGCUUUUUAAAGUGAGACUUAUAAAAAGUAUGCCAGGAACUUGGUUUCCUUACCUUCAACCAGGGGAGAGAAAACGGAGGAAAAUGGCUCCGUAUUUGAAUUGCUGCUUCUUUAUGAAUUACUAAAUAUUGAGCACAAAAAUUUGACAAUUUGAGAAAUUUUCUCUUACAGGAUUUGGGUUUUUCCUUCCUGACUGACUGAAAGGUGUGCUUAAAAAUUAGACAUAUUACCAUGCAUCUUACAACGGCCAGGACAAUUCUGGAAAACAGACCUUUUCCCAGUAUUGGAAGGAAGGCCCCAGGACACUAUGCCACCCCAGAUUUUAGGAAUGGCAUAUGAGACAAGGAACUGUGUGUCUCUUGCCUAGGACACUGUAUAUCCCCUGUCCCAUCCCCUCCAAGACACAGCCCCUGGUAGCAUGAUUGCUUCCAGAACAGGAGCAGAAAACAGGCUUCUGCCCCCAACCUGUGUGGACAUUGAUGUGUGACCCAGUACAAAGGCAUACUUCUUGUUCCCUGGAGAGGAUGAGGUUGCUUUUUAGAUUUAUUAGCCUGGAUAUACUUUCCCGGCUAGGUUUGCUUGCUCUCCCUCCCGCACAAGCUCUUGGAAAACAGCGUUUUCCAAGCAGCAACUCCCAGACCUGCAGAGCUUCCCGUGGCUGGCGUGGGCAGCACACAAGCUUUGCUCAGAGAGGCUCCUCUGUGGUAGUUUAAGCUCUCUUUGCACUGUCCUGCCAUCCCUCUGCUAGAAAAUGGGUCUGAACCCACAGGACAUCGGCCAUGCACCUGUGAUCGCUUUUUCCUGCUGGUCUCGAAGAGAAAAAAGCAUAUAGAGAAGCACUGCUGCAGGUAACAGGGACCCCAUGGUUUCCAUCAGCUGGUGGCAAUGCUGAUGAUAGGUAUAGAAAAGGAAAUUAUAUUUAACAAAAAGGAGUAUUUGCCUUCUGCAUGAGACCUUCCCCCUCUCUUCACUCCCUUUCUGUUUACUGCUGCGGGGAUGUAGUGACCGACCGCGCAGCACUGACCUUCCCUCUGCUGCCCGGCUGCCGCGUGGGGCUGGAGCAGCCGUGGGGCUGGAGCAGCCGUGGGGCUGGCUCUUCUCCUGUGCAGUGAGAGAGGGAGGCAUGUUCCACUGAAGGCACACUUGUGUCCAGUCCCUGUAAGAGGACAACCUCCACUUCUGAGCAGACGGGUAAAUUUUAUCUCUAGACUCUACAAGAACAUCAGGGCAUCUGCCAGAGAUUUUCAGCUGAUCUCUGUAUUCUUGUUUCAAUGUUAUUACUUUUUUUUUUUUUUCCUUUCUUUACCCCAACUCAUUUCACUGGCACUUUUACCAACAUUUCCUACAUUUUUCAAGACAUGAUAGUCUGGCUUUCUGAUGACCUAUCGCAAGACAAUGUUGGGCUGCUUAUCAGUGAAAGGUACCUUGUCAACCGACUCAGGAGCAGUGUUAUAUUUAAAUGGAAGCAGAUGAAAAGCCAUAGGGAAUAGAAACCUCCGCUGCAAAGGUAUUAAAGAAGAGACUGUUGUGUGAACAGGGAUAUGGGGGGAGGUGAAGUUGUAGCCUUUGGAGUUAGCUGUGGGCUUAGUGUAUAACUUAUUCUGUCUAACACUUGCCGUGAAAUAUCCUAACAAUACUCAGGCACUAGUGGUAGCAGAGAUAUUAUCACUUGGGGAGACAACAGAAAUGGCCUUAUCAUUUUGACAAUGGCUUUUUUCCCUUAUUAUCGCUAAGUAACAAUAUCUCUAUUUCACUGCCACUACUGAGCCAUUGUUUUUUUGAUAAAUAGGGUCCUUUUUGUGAUUUCUUUUUUCCCCACUUGUAUUUUAUCCUCUGUGCGUGUGUGCAUGUGAGCAGAUUUUAAAAAAAGAUGUUCCACCUGAUGGUACAAUAUUAAAGACUACACCUCUUAAAAGCCAAGGAAGCUGUCAGAAGGGAUAUCUACAUGAAUGUAUAGCUUGCUUGGUGUCUAAGGGACUUGUGGUGCACCUAGGCUCAAAGAAUGUCCAUUCUUCCUCUGGGGUCCCCACACCCCUGAAUAAAAACUGGGAGUAUAUAAGAGCUGGAGUGUGUAAGAGAUGUUAGGACCCAUUUGUCAGUAGGAAUGUCAUAUUGCAUUAGAAAAUGCCUAUAACAAAAUCUGCAUGCUUUGACAUGCGGUUUGUCCUCAGAUGCUCGUGUAAAGGCACCAUCUCCAGCACAGCUAUAUCUCUUGCAAAUGCAAUGGAUUGUGUUCUCCUCACUGUGGUCCCCAAAUGCCUCAACUGAUGGGGCCAUAUCCCAUCUUUCUUCCAGCCUCGUUCCAGACCUGAAAAACCUUCAAGGACUGAGCAGCAGUUAGACUGGGUGUAUAUAGUUCUAUUAGAUAUGGUAUAUAGUGACGUCUGGAUGUAUUCACAUUUGAGUCAGCUGAACAUUUUUCCUCACUUAUCCUCUAUUCUCUUUCCAUUCCUUUCUCAUGCCCAUCCCUAUGGUGUCUGAGCACUGCUGUCUACCUGACUUACCACCGUUGUUAUGGAUUAUCAUCUGCCGGGCUAUGAGUGUGCUCUCCCAUUAUCCACUCAUCAUCCACAGUGGCUCUGUCUGGAUACUUCUUUCUGCUGAUACCAUCAGCUGCCACUGUCUAUUCUGCGCACAAUAGAGAACCCUCCUAUCUGAGCCCAUUGCUAUGGUUACAGGCAUCCUGCGGGCGGUGGGAUCAACAGGAGCCAUAAAUGAAGGUACUACUGCGGUAUUUGCAUAAAGACUCCCUACCUGCUGUGGAACGGCCACGUUCUCCAAAACAACUCCCACGAGUUUCUGUCACUGCCGUUGCAAAUUUGUAUGGACGGUCUGGGACAUCAGGACUCAAUUUAUGCUUUCUUGGCUUGGACUCAUAGUGAGAACACUUUUUAUGGAGGAGGAGAGAAAAUUUACCUUAGAAGAUGACAGUACUCACCUCCCUUAGAUAUGAAAUAAUAAGGAGGAAGGUCAGUAUUUACUCUCUCCCCACCUUUGCACACCUGGCUUUGCAGAGAGCCUCAAAGCACUUCAACCAGCAACAGGCUAAGCUACUUGUAAGCCCCAAAUGCCCAAGCACCAGGGAAGUGAGUCAUCUAUCAUACACAUGCUCCAUCACUUCCAUUGCAGUACUAAAUGAUGCGCUCAAAACCUGCCACUAAAAGGAGAGAAAAUGUGACCAGCCUAACUGCUAUCAGAAAGUUAAAUGCUUAAAAUAAUGUCACUGGAGGAUCGAAGAGGAAAGAACGGGAGGUAAAGUAAGCUAUUUUCCUCAUCUGUGUUAUUUUUUUCCCCCAAACAGAGGAGGCGCAUAGUGAAAUUAACCUCUACUCCUUUGAUUUUUCCCUCUCCCUCUCUCUUGUGCACACACAUUCUCUCUCUCUCUUUUAAGGCUUAUAUAUUAUGAUUUGAUGCAGGAGGAUUUUUCAUUAGCAGAUGUGAGUAAGGCUUUAAUACAAAUCAGUCCGGAGAGUCUUUUGACAGGAUUUUUAAAUAGUGUCCCUUGUCUCCCUGAUGCAGCUGCAUGCUAUCUUGUUCCCAUGCUGACCUCUCUGUCUUUCCUCAUUAAAGAACAAGUCCAGGCUGCUGAGCCUUCUCUCUUUUUGGAGAUCUUCACUGCUUUGUCUCACGCACAGUCACUCCUGCUGCUGACCGACAGCUCCUCACCCCCAGUAAUUUCUGCACUGCAUUAAUUUCUCAUUAAUCUACAUCAUGAUUUAUGAGUCUGAAAUGAUGGAAGACUUCUAGAGGAGCGCUUCUCAUUUGGCCUGCUGGCUUUUCUCCCUCGCCCCUUCACCUGCCUUCUUCAAAAGCAAAUAGGCCUCUUCUCCCACACUGCCUGUCUGCAGAGCAUUGUUUCUGCGGAUGGUCCAAAGGGGGAGAAACAGGUUAAGCAUGGUGCUUUCUGGCUGCUUUCCUUAUAAAUGAUUUGAGCAAAUAAAUGCUAGGGAGAAAAAGGACCCACUUUCCUUUUCUAAAGACCUUUAGUAGCUGCUCUCCAAGUCUGUGACUGUGCUGUGGCUCUGACUGCUGCUGAAUUUGGCAGCCCCAGGGGGUUGCUGCCAAAGCCUCUGGAGUUUGGAGAGGUUUCAGCAUGGAAACCUUCAACCACCCUCCAGGGAUCAAUCGCGUUAGGAAGAGGGAUGGUGACUCCUGGCAGUGCAGAGAGCUGGACCUUCAGGCCAUGGGUAGAUGAACCGCUGGACAAUUUGAGGGCAUGUUGCUAUAAGGCUGUUUUAGUCUAGCUCAGGGCAAUGGGGAAAAGAGUAAAUCUGCACACUCCCUCUACUUAUUUCAUGGGACUCUGUAAUAGCCCUGCAUCAAAAUUAUCUUUCCUCCUGUUUUCAUGAGUAUGUGUAAAAGAGAAUGGAAAAUUACUCAGUUUUAGUAAGUCAUCAGCACUUUGUGUGCUUCCCCAAAACUCCUGAAUUUGUAGAAUUUGAGGCUAUAAAUAGAAACGGGAUUUCCUCUUCCCUUCUGGUUAUUGGUACACUGCUCUGGUCCUCAGGAGAGUCAGAAAACACAAAGAGGUGAAAAAUGUUUUGUUUAGCAGACAAGAGAAGAAAAUGCUGAAUGCACUGGGCAAGACUGAAUAAAUGCAGCAUAUGGUUAUGGCAGCAGUGGGAAAGUGAAUAAAGGAGUCAGGAGGGACGGAAGAAGCAAUGGGUGGAGGUUGAUUACAAAAUCCUUUGUGCUCUGCUUUGACUCCUCUGGUCCACUGCUCAGUAAAGUCAAUGGAAAUAUUGCUAUUGACUUCCUGGCAAUGCAUUCAAAUUUCAGACAAUUAAGCCAUGCUAAAUUUCAGACAGAAAUACUUCUCACAACACAAUAGCUCAGGAUUCAUAAGCCUGAUGAUCCCACCAAAAAAGAAUAAAAACUACCUGAACUUUUCCAUUGCAGGAAGAGGUUUACUUUCAGGUGAGUUUAGGAGAAGAGGAUUUGUCUUGAAUCUUUAUUUUCCUGGUGUCUUCUGAAACCACGAUAUUCACAAAUUGAUGCAGAUCUUCUCACAUACAGCGUGUGAAGGUGGUUCUAGCUCUCAGUCUGCCAGCCUGCCAAAGAGAUGAUUUACAAAAGCAGUGGUGACCAGGCCUAGCAAUAAAGCUUAGUUGCUACUGCAUGAAUAUGUAGAUGAAUAUGUAGUUACUCUGACAGCAACAGGGGAAAGCUGUUUCUUUGGGGGCUGGAAAUAGAAGGGGGAAAUUGCUCAGCUUUUUAGCCAUUGUUUUAAAUUGAUAUUUAGGAGAGCAAUUUCUGUGCUGCUUGGAAAAGAGGAGAGUGAAAAAGAAAGAACUUUGUGUAAAAAUCUUUCCGAUUGUACUUUGUUAAUCUUUUAAAUCUUUUGAAUUUGGGUAGCACGGCUCAAAAGGGAAAAUCAGAAAUUGUCUCUAUGUAAAUAGAGCUUUUACAGAGAGCACAAAAGCUCGGUUUGGGAAGAGGGUAAAAAUAUUUUAAUAGGUAACCUUUUAUUCGGCAAAAUAUGUAUUACUUCCUAUUAUGAUAAACAGUUGGCAUAUUUGAGAUGAAAAUGUUUAUACAUAUACAUUACAAUUACAUAUUCAUUUGACUUUAUAUUACAUACACAACUCAAUUUGAAUAAAUGUCUGAAGCCAAAGGAAUAAAUUAGGAUUGGUGCCGAGUGCUUUCUUUGCCCUUCUCCAUUGUGUUUGCAAGAUUUGCAUUUUAUAGUUGCACAUUAACAAAUAUGCAUAUUUCAUUAUGGUUUUGGAUUAAAAGGUUAUCAUCUCCGUUACCCAUUAGUAAUAAACAAACACAGGCUUUCCAUGUGAAUUUAUCCCUGGCUCAGCUGUUUGCUGAUUAGGUUGUUGUCGCUGGGUUUCCUUGUUUUCUCCUUGUGGAGAAUCCCUAAAGCGGUUUCUAAAGUGCUUAUUGUCCUCUGGGGAGCAGUGAAUGAGAAAAGGAGGCAGGCGAAGAAGAGCCAGAGGCAUCCUAAGGUGGUGAAAAGACAGGAAGGUAGGGCCAGGACCAAUUUGCAGUCAGGUUAGGAGCUUAGUUUCAUCCCCAAAGUCCAGGCCCUGUGGCAAAAAAAGAUCCUUGGAAAACCUGGUUGAAGGCUGUGCAGGGUCAGAUAUCCUCAGAAACCUGCUGAUGGGCAGGAAGCAAUGAAGUGAUCACCCCAGUGUCCAAAAGAUGGCAAUUUCAAAUCAGGCUGUUCCUCCUGUGCCGGUGUGAUCCAAAACCCCUGAAUCUGCACAUAGGGAGACCUUGGACCUGGAGAACUUGGCACCUGGCAUCAGCUGGGAGGGGGGAAGAAGGCGUCACAUUUUUACUGGCACCCACUGGUGUGAGCCCCGAUGGGGCUAUGCAGGUGGCACAUUGUUCCAGCAGACAUUCACCCAAGGUUGAAGCCAAUUGGACUAAACCUAGCAGCUUGAAGUCUCAGCAGCUCUUGUUCCUUGACAACCUCAUCACAGCAUCUUAGUUCAACCUGUUUUGCCAAACCCCCCUUAUUGAUCAGUUCUGUGUUUGCAGGCACUUGUAGGGUGGAGGUAACGAGGGAUCGGGGCUGAAGGAUCCCUGGUUGUCCAAGCUGGGGCCCAGGCGGUUAUCACCACUCUGGAGUAAACAGCACGGAUGCUGGGGGAGAUUUUUUUAGAGUAGCUGAAUUUUGAGGAGGCUUUGCAUUCAGCAUCCAAAAAAUAGCAAGGACCCAUUUCUACAGGCAGCGGGUACAGGAGGCUGCCCUGUGAAGUCAACAUUGGAGGAAGGCUGUCACCUCCCAGAAGGGAGCGUCAACGUCUUAAAGCCAGGUGCUAUUUGCCAAGCUGAUGCUGGGGCUGGAUCAGUGUCCUCUUGUAAUAGAGCUGUGCAUGCCAUAGGAUUAUAGUCUUUGGCUCUAGCUAUUCACCUACAGCAAAUAAGCUCCAUGUGUAAAAGCCAAUGGAAUUUUAAUGGAUUUUUAUUUUCACUUUAUUGGAUUUUCCUUUCCUUGUCUUUUUAAUACAACUUUGCUAGAGUCAGUGGGUGUGAAUGCCUCAAAAGAAGCCAUUUGGUUUUAUUUUUCCUCUUCUUCAGGGGAAAGGAAAAUGAAAAGAUUCUGUGGCUCUUCAGCAGAAGAAAUAAAAAUAGAGAAUCCCUGUGGGGCUAUCCACACAGCUCCUAGGAUGCUACUUUGGGGUCAUCUGAUGUGCCCUGCUGUUGUCACCUUGGUGUUGCUGCCCUCUGUUUACUCCCUAACCCUCUCUGCAGGUCCUUUGCUGUCCCAGACCUGCUUUCCAGGUGGCAUCGUGAGCAUAAUUGCCCAAAGCUGUCCCCUUCUUAGGCCAGGUCUGGACACUCCUUACCAAUGCCCUUGAGGAUCCCUUUCCAACUGCUAAAACAAGGAGCCCCGCUUGCUGGUGUUUCUGAGCAGUCACCCCAUGCUGGCACACCAGCCCGGU